GUUUGCGUACCGCGGCGAGGUGCGGCUGCGCUGCGGGCGUAGCUGAGCUACGGGAAUAAGGGGGGAGCGCAAGCGCUGCGGUGCUUCGUGAGGGGAAAUGGCGGGAGGAGCGGCUCUCUCACGACCGUCGGGGCUUCGGGGUGUCCUGGGUCCCGAGGGAGCCCGACCCCCGCCCACGGGGCGUGAGUGCCGUGGUGUGGAGACCGAGGAGCGUCCAGGGAGCGCUGUCCCGGUGCCUCCAUCGGGGCUCGAUCCACACAGAAUGGAGCUGCGCUCGUUUUUGCCUCACUCAGGCCGCCCUUUCUUCUCCGUCCCUCGCUGCCCUCCUCCUCUAUGGGCUCACGGGCCAUAUUUCUGCUCCGUGUUCUUCAGCCUUUUCCUCAGUAACGCAGCUCACGAUCUCAGCCCCCAGCCCCGGCUCUGCCCGAGCUCCGCACGGACCGCUGCCCGCCUGGGAAGCGGGGCUGUGAGGGGAGCGGGGGGAGCCGGGCUGCUGGGGCGGCAGGAGCGUCAGCUGUGAGCCUGCGACGAAACGUGCGGGAGUUUGACAGCUGCGUUGGCUGAGGGCUGAUAAUUCCCUCACUCAGCUCCGUGUUGUGAAUGGCUGUCACUUUCUCGAACUCUGACAAAACAAACAGUAAAGGAGAUGGAGCGGCAGAAGGCUUUUGGGGUUCUUUCGAACAGGUCCAGUUUCCACAUUAAACCUGCCUGGUAGGAACCACUGCUACUUGGUCUCUGCAAACUGCUGAUAUUCUGGCUCCGUGACCAGUGUUGUUAGUGAACUUGAAAGAGGCUGCAAAGGGGAAAGAUCAAGAAAAGAAGAGAGAAUACCACGUAUUCUGAGGACAGCCACAGCAUCUCCAGCUGAUUGGAUAUAUGGGCAGUGUUCCUGAUGGGAUAAAUCUGUUGCAUUCCUGACUGCCUCAUCAGGCUUCCUGUGGCACUGGAAGGAUUUGCAUCAAGCCAGAUAGCACAACAGCACUGCAGCAAGGCAGGGGAAAGCUAACAUCCCCGUUUCACCAGAGGAAAAGCGAUCACCAGAGGAGAGGUGAAGUCCAGGAAGGCUGUGGUGCCUCUGUGGGGUUAUGCAGGGUAUCUACAGCAUAGUUGAAAGACAGGCCUGGGCAUAACAUCAUCCUUUUUGAGUGCCAUCAGAAGUGGGAUGAAGGCUCUCCUGGAACUAGAGGCACUAGUCAGCACAAACUGCUUCUGUCGAUGUGCUUUAUUGGACUAGAAUCGAUGAAGGAGUUUAAAAAAGAAAAAAAAAAUGCCCCCCAAAAUGGGCUCACUGAGCCAGACCAAGUCAUAAACAGAUUAGAAUGCUGUGGAGGUCAGGUUUCAGCUGGUGUUCAUGAAAACAGGGGAGUUCUGGCAUUGUUGGAGGGUGAUUCAUUUCACUGGAAUAUUUCAGGGAGGAGAACCACACAGGAGUUGGGAGCACAAACCUGCAAAGAGAGGGGUCCUGUGUCGAGUUUCUGCCUCCAACUUCGCCGUUGCAGAUUUAUGCUGAUACCACGUCUAUCAGGAAAAGUUAUCUGUUUCUGUUUGACUCACAUGAAAGCCCAUGUGUGGUUAUUGCAUUCUAAGUUUGCUAGAACUUGUUAAUAAUUUAGGAUAAUAAAGUCAGUCAAAUUAAUUCACCUCUGAAAUUGAGCUUAUUUGCAUUGGCUUGUCUUUUUUGUAACAGAUCUCUCUGCGGGCAUAUGUUUGUAUAAGCUUUUUGUAUGUGCUCGAGAGUGUUUGUGUGCAUAUGUAAUUUCUUACGACCAGAAGAAGCUGAGCUGGAUUUAAACAUUGCACAAGAAAAAUAGUUUCUCCCUGCCUGUGAAUAUAUUCAGGGAAGGUCCACCCCAAAGUGAAGCCAAAUAGAGGGGAAAUAAAUCCAUGGGAAAAAUGGGGUUUGUAAUGGAAAUGCUCUCUUGUCUUAAAUUAUAGCCAGGCAUAUUGUGAAGCUGAAACACAUGCUGAAGCAUCCAGACAGUGCCUCAAGCUGGCCACGCGUUCCCAGAAAUAAAGAAAAACACCAGAGCCUACCUGCAGAAUGACCUUUCUCCUAACUGACUUGCAGCUCCGAAGCUUUUGUGCUGGAAGAGAUAGGGAGAUGAAAUGCUCUCCUGUUCAGUGCAUGCAGAAGAGACUGGAGCUGAGUUGCUAUUUUCGUAACAGUAAAACUACGGCGAGAUCUGAAUUCUUUGUUCAUGUUUCGUCGCUUUGAGGCAAGCAGUGGUGAUGAGAUCAGACAUCAGCCAUAGGACACUUCUUGGCAGUGUGAGGGAAAGCCAAGACUGAGCAUAUGGUUUGUUGCAAGCUCUGACCUUCCCAGUGAACUGGGGCAAAGCCAAGCGCCUGGAAUUUCCAUCGAGUGCCAUUCAGAAGCCUGCAUGAUGCUGUGGAAAGCCUCUGUGCCAUUUCUGGGAAA
This is a long non-coding RNA of Lagopus muta (rock ptarmigan), 2419 nucleotides long. RefSeq lists it as uncharacterized. The transcript has 5 exons. Lineage: Eukaryota; Metazoa; Chordata; Aves; Galliformes; Phasianidae. The record is from RefSeq and is a predicted model, not a curated record.